This 573-nucleotide ribosomal RNA is filed under the name Sphingomonas sp. RNAcentral's name for it is "bacterial SSU rRNA". It matches the Rfam family "Bacterial small subunit ribosomal RNA", at positions 107 to 715 of the family's 1533-position model. Lineage: Bacteria; Pseudomonadati; Pseudomonadota; Alphaproteobacteria; Sphingomonadales; Sphingomonadaceae. The record is from RNAcentral.
UGCGUAACGCGUGGGAAUCUGCCCUUGGGUUCGGAAUAACGUUUGGAAACGGACGCUAAUACCGGAUGAUGACGAAAGUCCAAAGAUUUAUCGCCCAAGGAUGAGCCCGCGUAGGAUUAGCUAGUUGGUGGGGUAAAGGCCCACCAAGGCGACGAUCCUUAGCUGGUCUGAGAGGAUGAUCAGCCACACUGGGACUGAGACACGGCCCAGACUCCUACGGGAGGCAGCAGUAGGGAAUAUUGGACAAUGGGGGCAACCCUGAUCCAGCAAUGCCGCGUGAGUGAUGAAGGCCUUAGGGUUGUAAAGCUCUUUUACCCGGGAUGAUAAUGACAGUACCGGGAGAAUAAGCCCCGGCUAACUCCGUGCCAGCAGCCGCGGUAAUACGGAGGGGGCUAGCGUUGUUCGGAAUUACUGGGCGUAAAGCGCACGUAGGCGGCGAUUUAAGUCAGAGGUGAAAGCCCGGGGCUCAACCCCGGAACUGCCUUUGAGACUGGAUUGCUAGAAUCUUGGAGAGGCGGGUGGAAUUCCGAGUGUAGAGGUGAAAUUCGUAGAUAUUCGGAAGAACACCAGUGG